RNAcentral lists this ribosomal RNA (828 nucleotides) under Triticum aestivum (bread wheat). RNAcentral describes it as "partial small subunit ribosomal RNA". Lineage: Eukaryota; Viridiplantae; Streptophyta; Magnoliopsida; Poales; Poaceae. The record is from RNAcentral.
AUGCUGAUGAACUCUUGGAACGUGCCGGCAUGGACACCUGCCGCUCUUCCCCGACACCCAUCGACACGAAGAGCAAACUCCCCUCCGCCGAUGGGCCCUGCGUCGACGACCCCUUGGCCUAUCGGAGCAUCGCCGGGGCCCUGCAGUACCUCACCAUCACGCGCUCGGAGAUCGCCUACGCCCGUUCAGCAAAUCCGCUUGCACAUGCAUGACCCGCGUGAAUGCCAUCUCGCGCUCGUCAAACGCGUGCUCCGGUACGUGAAGAGCACCUGCGCUCUUGGGCUUCACCUUCGAGCCUCCGCCACGCUCGACGUCCGUGCGCUCACCGACGCGGACUGGGUCGGCUGCCCCGACACCCGCCGCUCCACGUCGGGCUUCUGCGUCUUCCUCGGCGAUGCUCUCGUCUCCUGGUCCUCCAAGCGCCAGGCGAUCGUUUCACGCUCCAGUGCCGAAGCUGAAUACCGCGGGGUCGCCAACGCGGUUGCUGAAUGCAUCUGGCUCCGUCAGCUCCUCGGCGAGCUCUCCGCUCUGGUGACCAAGGCGACGCUGGUGUACUGUGACAAUGUGUCCGCAGUCUACCUGUCAGCCAAUCCGGUGCACCAUCGCCGCACCAAGCAUGUGGAGCUCGACAUCCACUUCGUGCGCGAGCGCGUCGCCCUCGGCCACUUCCGUGUUCUUCACAUCCCCACGCGUCAACAACUCGCCGACAUCAUGACCAAAGGCUUGCCAUCGGAUGUUUUCUCUGAGUUUCGGUCCAGUCUUUGCGUUGCCAACGCCAACGUCACGACUGCGGGGGGUGUUAGACUGUAUUAUACUGCUAUACCGUAG